Molecule: ribosomal RNA, 199 nt
Filed under: uncultured bacterium
Lineage: Bacteria
Description: partial 16S ribosomal RNA
Rfam family: Bacterial small subunit ribosomal RNA
Source: RNAcentral
ACGCUCGACACCUACGGGAGGCAGCAGUUGGGAAUAUUGGACAAUGGAGGAAACUCUGAUCCAGUGACGCCGCGUGAAGGAAGAAGGUCUUCGGAUUGUAAACUUAUUUUGUCAGGGAAGAAAAAUGACUGUACCUGAAGAAAAAGCACCGGCUAACUACGUGCCGGCAGCCGCAGUAAUCUGAGCGGGCUGGCAAGGC